Molecule: ribosomal RNA, 486 nt
Filed under: uncultured bacterium
Lineage: Bacteria
Description: partial 16S ribosomal RNA
Rfam family: Bacterial small subunit ribosomal RNA
Source: RNAcentral
AUUGAACGCUGGCGGCAUGCCUUACACAUGCAAGUCGAACGGCAGCACGGGUGCUUGCACCUGGUGGCGAGUGGCGAACGGGUGAGUAAUACAUCGGAACAUGUCCUGUAGUGGGGGAUAGCCCGGCGAAAGCCGGAUUAAUACCGCAUACGAUCUACGGAGGAAAGCGGGGGACCUUCGGGCCUCGCGCUAUAGGGUUGGCCGAUGGCUGAUUAGCUAGUUGGUGGGGUAAAGGCCUACCAAGGCGACGAUCAGUAGCUGGUCUGAGAGGACGACCAGCCACACUGGGAUUGAGACACGGCCCAGACUCCUACGGGAGGCAGCAGUGGGGAAUUUUGGACAAUGGGCGAAAGCCUGAUCCAGCAAUGCCGCGUGUGUGAAGAAGGCCUUCGGGUUGUAAAGCACUUUUGUCCGGAAAGAAAUCCUUGGCCCUAAUACGGUCGGGGGAUGACGGUACCGGAAGAAUAAGCACCGGCUAACUACGUG